CAUCACCUGUCGAAGCGUGCCCGACGAAGACGGAAGGUUGAAGCAAAAGUGCGAACGUGUACGCAGGAAAUUCCGACAGUGUCCAGGAAGGUGAGCGGAAGGGUUGCAGUCCCGUGCGAAUGUUCGGACGGCAGUUUUCAUGGGAAUGAGACAUGCUGACGGAAGAGUGC
RNAcentral lists this non-coding RNA (170 nucleotides) under Picocystis salinarum. Lineage: Eukaryota; Viridiplantae; Chlorophyta; Picocystophyceae; Picocystales; Picocystaceae. The record is from RNAcentral.